This 497-nucleotide ribosomal RNA is filed under the name uncultured bacterium. Its description in RNAcentral is "partial 16S ribosomal RNA". It matches the Rfam family "Bacterial small subunit ribosomal RNA", at positions 28 to 507 of the family's 1533-position model. The record is from RNAcentral.
GAUGAACGCUGGCGGCGUGCCUAAUACAUGCAAGUCGAGCGAACGGACGAGAAGCUUGCUUCUCUGAUGUUAGCGGCGGACGGGUGAGUAGCACGUGGAUAACCUACCUAUAAGACUGGGAUAACUUCGGGAAACCGGAGCUAAUACCGGAUAAUAUUUUGAACCGCAUGGUUCAAAAGUGAAAGACGGUCUUGCUGUCACUUAUAGAUGGAUCCGCGCUGCAUUAGCUAGUUGGUAAGGUAACGGCUUACCAAGGCAACGAUGCAUAGCCGACCUAAGAGGGUGAUCGGCCACACUGGAACUGAGACACGGUCCAGACUCCUACGGGAGGCAGCAGUAGGGAAUCUUCCGCAAUGGGCGAAAGCCUGACGGAGCAACGCCGCGUGAGUGAUGAAGGUCUUCGGAUCGUAAAACUCUGUUAUUAGGGAAGAACAUAUGUGUAAGUAACUGUGCACAUCUUGACGGUACCUAAUCAGAAAGCCACGGCUAACUACGUG